Molecule: ribosomal RNA, 311 nt
Filed under: uncultured bacterium
Lineage: Bacteria
Description: bacterial SSU rRNA
Rfam family: Bacterial small subunit ribosomal RNA
Source: RNAcentral
GACGAACGCUGGCGGCGCGCCUAACACAUGCAAGUCGAACGAAGAAAGCGAUAGUUUACUAGAGCUUUCUUAGUGGCGGACGGGUGAGUAACACGUGAAGAACCUGCCUUACAGAGGGGGAUAACAGUUAGAAAUGACUGCUAAUACCGCAUAAGCGCACAGGACCGCAUGGUCUGGUGUGAAAAACUCCGGUGGUAUGAGAUGGACCCGCGUCUGAUUAGCUAGUUGGUGAGGUAACGGCCCACCAAGGCGACGAUCAGUAGCCGACCUGAGAGGGUGAUCGGCCACAUUGGGACUGAGACACGGCCCAA